UACAGAGGUCCCAAGCGUUGUUCGGAUUCACUGGGCGUAAAGGGUGCGUAGGCGGUCGGGUAAGUCUGAUGUGAAAUCUCACAGCUUAACUGUGAAACUGCAUUGGAUACUAUUCGGCUUGAGAGUUGGAGGGGGGACUGGAAUUCUUGGUGUAGCAGUGAAAUGCGUAGAUAUCAAGAGGAACACCAGUGGCGAAGGCGAGUCCCUGGACAACUUCUGACGCUGAGUGAGCGAAAGCUAGGGGAGCAAACGGG
This 254-nucleotide ribosomal RNA is filed under the name uncultured bacterium. RNAcentral's name for it is "partial 16S ribosomal RNA". It matches the Rfam family "Bacterial small subunit ribosomal RNA", at positions 524 to 776 of the family's 1533-position model. The record is from RNAcentral.